Molecule: ribosomal RNA, 2139 nt
Filed under: Triticum aestivum (bread wheat)
Lineage: Eukaryota; Viridiplantae; Streptophyta; Magnoliopsida; Poales; Poaceae
Description: partial small subunit ribosomal RNA
Source: RNAcentral
AUGCCUCGCGCCGCGCCCGGGCUAGGGUUCCCCAUUGCCGCCGACCCAGCGCCCGAGCGCCGCCACCCUCCGUCCUCCCGGCGGAAGAAGCCGCCGCCGCGCCGAAGGCGCCCCGCACCGCCGCCUCCACCCGCGGUAAAAAACCUCUUCCCCCUAUCUAUCCCUCUUCCGCAUCGCGUCCGCAUUGCCGUCCCAGGCCGGCCGCUCGCCGGAUUAUUUUACUGCUGCGAGUCAAUAGAUCCAAUCCAGAGCACGCCGCCGCACAUGCGCGCCGCCGAGGCUCCCCAGUUGAACUUCGAAAGUCGAAACCCUCCGCGUAAACAAGGGAUAAGGCCAAAAGAAAUUCGAACGGGGCUACCGCGUCGCUUUUCUAUCAUUGCUGGCGCUUUUGUUCCGUUGCGUCGCCUUUUUUCCCGUCCGCUGUUCGGCGGUGACUGUGCCGUGCCCUGCUCGGUCGUGCUCCGCCCCGGAUUUCAGUUUGCUGAGAGGGACGCUCCCUUUGUUUGGCCCCUUUCGCAGCCGCCGGUGGGGCCACGCGGUGCAGCCGAUCCAGAUCCGGGCCUCCUCCACCACCUCCACCCCCGCGGCGGCAGCCACGCCACAGCUCCCAGAGACGAGGACGACGGCGACGAGGAGGAGGGGGGCUACGACGCGGCCGGCUUGGAGGAGGCGGCCGCCGGCGACUCCUUCUCCCACUCGCUGAAAGAGUGCCAGAAGCAGCUGCAGCUCAGGGCGGAGGCGCGGCCGGCGGCGGCCGCGCAUGAGCUCGGCAACGGCGACGCGUUCGGGGGGAUCGAGCUGCUCGUUCUCUCGCCCAGGUGCUUGCUCGGGGCUGCCGUGGGAGGGAUGAGCAAGAGCUCGACCGCGUCGUCCAGAAGCAGAUCAGGCACGUUUCCGAGCCCCGGGACGCCCAACUACCACCGGCAUUGCCCUGGCAACAUGCAGUACCCCAAGGGCUGGAGCUCGGAGCGGGUGCCGCUGGGGGCAGGUGCCAACAGGAGGUAUGGGGGCAGCGGGGUCGUGCUCCCUUUCAACAAUGGGAGGAAGCUGCCGUCGAAAUGGGAGGACGCCGAGAAGUGGAUCCUGAGCCCGGUCUCCUGUGAUGGGAUGGGGAGGAUGUCGGCACCGGCGCCGCAUCAUAGACGGCCAAAGUCCAAGAGUGGGCCGCUUGGUCACCCUGCCGGUGUUCCAGGAGCUUAUGCAUCUGUUUCGCCGAUGAUUCCCUGCUUCGAUGGUGUUCUGGCCGCCGCUAAUUUUGCGGCUCAUUCGCCUUUCUCUGCUGGGGUUCUCAUGCCAGGGCAUGCGCGCAACGGCGACUUCAGCAGUGGAAGAGCCAGAAGUGGGGAUGAUGGAAGCAGUAGGUCGUAUUCGGCUGAGAAGGAGCCCUAUAUUUGGAGAUCAGCAAGUACGCAUGCGUGGACAGAAACACUUAUGGAGGCAUCUGCCUUUGCUCAUAUCUCAGAGGAAGCUGCACAAGAUGAUGUCUUACAAGGUCCACAGGGAGCAACUCCUGUGAUUUCCAGUCCAAUCAUAAAGAAAGAUGUUGCCACACAAAUGAGUCCUGAUGACAGUAUAAUAUCGUCCUCCCCAAAAGCAAGGCAUUCCUGCUCCAGCUUGCCGUCAGGACAUGCUAUUAGAGAAUCAAAUAGUCAUACACCUAAGGUUGAAGUUAGGGAUGUGCAGGUAGAUGAUCAAGUAACUGUUACGCGGUGGUCCAAGCGACAUGUAACACGAGGCUCUGAUAAGCGAUCAACAAAUAUUGUUGAAUGGAGGAAGAAGACUACAGAAGCCCGGGCACCAUCUUUUGAUGAAAAAGAAAGAGAAAGAUGCAUAUCAAAGUGCAAGAGAGAGGAAGCAAAGAUCACUGCUUGGGAAAAUCUGCAGAAAGCAAAAGCAGAGGCAGCAAUUCGGAAGUUGGAGAUGAAGCUUGAAAAGAAAAGGUCACUAUCGAUGGAUAGAAUUUUGGGCAAACUACGUUCUGCUCAAAAGAAAGCAGAAGGCAUGCGCACUACAGUUUCUGUGAGCGAGGAUCAGUGUGCUGUCAGUGAAGAUCAGUGUGCUGUGAGGGCAACCAAGAAGGCAUCCUUGAGAAGGACUAGCAAGCCUUUCAGCUGCUGUUUCACCUACCAUGCUUGCUAG